GUUUAAUCUGAACUCUCCCGGCGCACCUGCCUGCUUUCUGGCGCAGACACACGUGAACAGAGGACCUGUAGAGCACAUCAAGAUGUUGUGCUGCGUUUGGAACUGAGAGCAGGGUUGGGAUGUUCGAUGCCAUUCGUUCAUGAGGAACCCUUCAUGAAGCCACUUUCCCAAACUUUUCCUUAGGCUCUCGGACCUCUGGAGUUGCUACAGGAUCAAUUUCAGCCAGUCAAGCUUCCUCUGGCUCUCCUAGAUCUGCUCCUCAGCAUCCUUAUACAAUCUGUGAAUGCUGUGCACAGUAUAUUUACAGAAUGCAUAAAGAAGCUGAUAGGUAGAAAUAUUGACAAUACAGUAUAUUUUAAUAAUAAUAAAAAAAAAAUCUAUUUUUUUUA
This is a long non-coding RNA of Silurus meridionalis, 389 nucleotides long. RefSeq lists it as uncharacterized. Lineage: Eukaryota; Metazoa; Chordata; Actinopteri; Siluriformes; Siluridae. The transcript has 2 exons. The record is from RefSeq and is a predicted model, not a curated record.